UACAGAGGUCUCAAGCGUUGUCCGGAAUUAUUGGGCGUAAAGAGCUCGUAGGCGGUUUGUCACGUCUGCUGUGAAAACUCGGGGCUUAACUCCGGGCCUGCAGUGGGUACGGGCAGACUAGAGUGCGGUAGGGGAGACUGGAAUUCCUGGUGUAGCGGUGAAAUGCGCAGAUAUCAGGAGGAACACCGGUGGCGAAGGCGGGUCUCUGGGCCGUAACUGACGCUGAGGAGCGAAAGCGUGGGGAGCGAACAGG
RNAcentral lists this ribosomal RNA (253 nucleotides) under uncultured bacterium. RNAcentral's name for it is "partial 16S ribosomal RNA". It matches the Rfam family "Bacterial small subunit ribosomal RNA", at positions 524 to 776 of the family's 1533-position model. The record is from RNAcentral.